GCCGACUUAGCUCAUCCGGUAGAGCACCUGUCUUGUAAACAGGAGGUGGCGGGUUCGAGACCCGCAGUCGGCU
Molecule: transfer RNA, 73 nt
Filed under: Pseudoclavibacter caeni
Lineage: Bacteria; Bacillati; Actinomycetota; Actinomycetes; Micrococcales; Microbacteriaceae
Description: Pseudoclavibacter sp. MJ28 tRNA
Rfam family: tRNA
About the family: Transfer RNA (tRNA) molecules are approximately 80 nucleotides in length. Their secondary structure includes four short double-helical elements and three loops (D, anti-codon, and T loops). Further hydrogen bonds mediate the characteristic L-shaped molecular structure. tRNAs have two regions of fundamental functional importance: the anti-codon, which is responsible for specific mRNA codon recognition, and the 3' end, to which the tRNAs corresponding amino acid is attached (by aminoacyl-tRNA synthetases). tRNAs cope with the degeneracy of the genetic code in two manners: having more than one tRNA (with a specific anti-codon) for a particular amino acid; and 'wobble' base-pairing, i.e. permitting non-standard base-pairing at the 3rd anti-codon position.
Source: Rfam by way of RNAcentral